UCGGGACAUCCGUGCACAGUUUGCAUCUGCCGAUCAGUCAUGUAAAUGCACAACCAGCUCUCGUAGAUGCCUCAGACGAAGAAAAUGAUCUUCUGCGCGUCCAUACCGCUCUUCUUUCUUGCAGACUUAACAGGUGACACUCCCUCCUCCAC
Ornithodoros turicata is the source of this 152-nucleotide long non-coding RNA. RefSeq lists it as uncharacterized. The record is from RefSeq and is a predicted model, not a curated record. The transcript is spliced from 3 exons. NCBI's taxonomy places the organism in Eukaryota, Metazoa, Arthropoda, Arachnida, Ixodida, Argasidae.